This 253-nucleotide ribosomal RNA is filed under the name uncultured bacterium. Its description in RNAcentral is "partial 16S ribosomal RNA". It matches the Rfam family "Bacterial small subunit ribosomal RNA", at positions 524 to 776 of the family's 1533-position model. The record is from RNAcentral.
UACGUAGGAUGCAAGCGUUAUCCGGAAUUAUUGGGCGUAAAGCGUCCGCAGGUGGCUAUGUAAGUCUGCUGUUAAAGAGUGAGGCUCAACCUCAGAAGAGCAGUGGAAACUACAUAGCUAGAGUGCGUUCGGGGCAGAGGGAAUUCCUGGUGUAGCGGUGAAAUGCGUAGAUAUCAGGAAGAACACCGGUGGCGAAAGCGAUCUGCUAGGCCGCAACUGACACUGAGGGACGAAAGCGAGGGGAGCGAAUGGG